UCAAAUUUCUCCGUUAGAUCAGCAGCUUAAUCUCCUACCGCACAACAGAUCCGCGGGCAUGGCAGCAUCAUCAUUCCUGCUUGCUACGGGCCUCACGAGCGCGGUGCUUGAGCUCGGCCCUUUUCCACCUUACCAUCAGCAUGCAGAGCGUCACAAGGGUGUUCACCUGCAGAACAAGCACACGGGAGGCAGUUGCAUGUAAGGAAAGCAAAAGGAGAUGCAGAUACUGAUGAGGUGAAUGAGACGACUGGCGAUGCACUUACCAGAAUAAGUAUCGUAAUCAGGAGCAGGGGACCAGACCACAUGACCGAGAUGAAGAGGCCUUGGGGAUCAAAGUAAUUCUGGCUUGAGAAGCUCUUCCAGUUUUGUCCUAAGAAUGUGUUUAGUUUCUCCGCAAGGAAUACACCAGAAACUGCAAUGAGUUAAGUACAUCAGGCAAGCAAAGGAGGUAAUCUAGCAUAUUACAAAAGCUAUUGCUUGCUGGUGCUUUGCCCUUAAAUCCAUACUUGCAUCGGAAGGGAAAGAGGAAACAUCAUCUCUCAAGGUCAAGGUUACAUUUACUAAUUACUUGUUAUUCAAACUACUUGUGUGGUUAAAUUUCACAUUAACGUAAAAUAACAGGCACAAAAGCAAAGAAGGUGAAUGUCUUCUCAUAUCACAUACAGUACAUAAUUAGAGAACGGAGAGAAAAAUGCUACACUGAAACCUCGCUGACAUGAUUAAACCAACAUUUAUGCAGGAGUUGGACGUUGCCACUGCAAAUUAGAUAAGCUUUACAGAGCUGAGAUGUGCAGUGUGAUUAUUUUGACGGUUUCAAGGAGACAAAAUACAUAAAACUUCUAAUCUCAGCAAGCAUAAAAAAAUACAAUAAAUAUGGUCAGUAUGACAUGCAUGAUGCACACAAUCUAUAAUCACCAGCUAACGGUACUAGAAGUCUGAUGGCCAAAUAAAAAAAACAAUGAUAGGGAAGUAAUACUCACAUGUGAAGGCUGACAAAAUAAGUUGGAAAUUGAUGUUCCUCCUGGAGAUGAUGGUUACCAGUAGCAGAAUGGCAUGGAAACUUAUCAUGCCGAUCAACCAAGGUUCCUAAAGAGACAGAAGGAACAGAUCAGUCAAGGUAAGAACAGGGACAACGAUUACCCAUGAGAUGAGCGAAGUUGAUUACACAAUAAAACAUGAAGAAAAGGCUGAUGGUUCAAGAAAACAUGUAGUCCCUUUGUUCCCAAAUACUCCCUUCGUACCAUAAUAAUUGUAGUUGGGAAGAACUAAACUAGUUCCCCUCAACUACAAUUAUUAUGGUAUAGAGGGAGUAUAAGAUGUUUUGGAUAUUUCAAUAUGGACUACAUACGGACUAAAAUGAGUGAACAAACACACUAAAACAUCUGAUUCAGGAGAAAGUUAAAUUUGACGGAGGGAGUAUAUGAGUACGCAGAAGUACUAGCUACUGAGUUUCAGGUGGGAAAGCAUUAACAUGGAAGCUCCGAAACUGGAGUAAUCACAAGCGCCAUUAAGUAACUUGCAUUCUGUUGCGGACUUUUACUCUUGGAUGCACCGCGGUGGUCUUCGAUUGAUUUACUAGUUCACAGGAAUGAGGAUGCAGUGGAAUCGCGCAGAGAUGAACCACAUGAAAUUGUUCGUCCUACAUAGCAUAACUACCCACACCAUCGCUGCCUCUCAAGAGAGAUCCAGGCGAGGCCGGCGGUAAAUAAUCCGCGGCGUCGGUUGGAUUCAGUCGACAAAGAGCACACUGACGUCGGCGGUUGAAGCAGCAGCUUCUGCUUCCUGGUGGACUAAAUCCUAGGUUCAAGCGGGCGAAGCAAGGGGGUGAGGGGGAAAAGACGCACCUUCCAGUCGACGGCGUGGAAGAAGCCGACGAAGGAGUCGACGGCGGGGCCGAAUCCGCCGCGGAGCUCGGUGGAGACGCGGCCGAAGAGCUCGGCUACCACGUCAGCGUGCUCGUUCAGCGCCGAACGCACCUCCUCCACCGCUCGCCCAACCGCCGCCGCCGCCGGGGAGGAGGAGGACGCCGCCAUCUCGUCUCGUGAUCUGAUCUCCGCUGCACUGCUCUCCUCCUUUCUCUGCAAGAGACGCAAAGGCAAAAUGUCGUCCCCCCUGCUAAUUCGGGGCCACACGUCAGUGACUUUAAACGCUGGAAACAGUUGGGCCGAGUUCUUCCUUAACUGGGCUGUGCUGGCACGUCGUUUGAUUUCCAACAAUGAAGGGAAAUUCUAUCUACACGCCGCACCGUAAAGUACAGCGGCUUGUGUUCUCUUGCAAUGAUGUCAUCAGAUUCAUUUUAAAUGAUCGAAAUUCAAAAACUUUUAUCUCUUAAACCGUUAAUUCGAUCGAUAAUCCGUUUUCACCGUUGACUUUGUUUCGACGAAAUCUUUAAAACUAGAUCCCAUGUCGACAUGUUUCGACAAUUUUUUUUCUCACAAUUACCACAUUUGCUGCACUUACUUGUCAUAUUAGUAAGUGCUUACUUGUCUGAUAAAAAAUAACUUAAUCAUCAAAUUUUUAAAAAUUGCGUAUAAAUAUGACAUCUUGACAUAAUUAAAAUGGCAAGCACAAACAACUUUUUGAGGCGAUUACACGCAAAAAAUAUGACAACUCAACAUAUUUAAAACCGGUGACCACAAAAAAAAUCUUUUUUUAUCAUCGUUUGUAAAUAUGACAACUCGGCAUAGUUAAACUAGCAUCUUGACAACUAAGUUUUUGUAAAAUUGGCAACUAUACAAUUUUAAACUAUUACUAGUAGUACUAGUACUAACUAGAUGCAUUUAGCUAGUGAUUAAGGUCUGCCAACACAUGUUUUGUGUGAGACACUUUUUCUACCGAUUUUCUGUGUCACGCUUUGCAUGCAAUGCAUAUUUUUGUGAUGCCAUCUGCAUAUCCUUCUAAGCCACGAUGUUGUGUGCUGCAAUAUGGAUACAUGCGGCACAUGAUUCACAUCGAGAAAAAAAUGGUAAUUAAGUUAUUUUUUUUGACAAGUAAGUGGCUAAUAAUACGACAAGUAAGUCUAAAAAUGUGGCAAUUAUGGACGGAGAAAAAAAGUUCUCGAAACAUGUCGACAUGGGGUCUAGUUUUGAAGAUCUCGUCACGACAAAGCCAACGGUGAAAACGGAUUGUCAAUUAAAUUAACUAUUUUAGAGAUAAAACUUUUAAAACUUUAAGUCAAUAGAGAGAAUCUUGAUGACGUUAUUGCAUGCAUGCAUGGUAGGGAGAUGGAAUUAGCCGCAGCAUGGGAAGACUUACAUGCGGCGCCGCUCUGUAGUUAAGCCCAACAAUGAAACUAUUACACGGAAUGGAAGCAACGACUUCCAAACUAUCUCUUUCAGCCACGAAGGACGUUUGUCGAAUACGGAAGCUCAUAAUUUAGCUAGACAUGCUUUGCACCUAGGAGAGGGACGUCAUGUUUGGCUCCUGCAACCUUUUGAUACUCUUGUUAUACCUGUAAACCUCACUAUUGAUCAAUAAGGCAAAACAGUCUUUCCCUCAGAAAAAGAAAAAAAGCUAUCCUCCCAUCCACAUCCUCCCAUUGAUUUAUUUAACCCUAAAAAAACCAGGAGAUUCAAUAGAAAAAAUCAGGUGGUGCACGGUCUCAACGCCUCACCCAUGAUGCUUUCCAAACCACUUGUUACUCAGGAUCGCCCACGACGCUCGCUCAUGUGGGCAGUCCACGUCGUCGUUCAGGUUCCCACCUCCACCACCACUCCCCACGGCACCGACGCCGGAGGGCCGGCCGACAAGGCGCGUCGCGCCCAUGGGGAAGGUGGCGGUUGGGCGGUCUGUUCCUGUCCCCUGCACUAGAGCUUUCUAGAAGUACACACAUGGGGUCCGUUUUCUGGUUCUAUUUGAAAUAUUGCACAUGAUCUAUUUUUCAUGUAUAUUGUAUACUGCACAAUGUACUUCUUUGUUUUGAUUUUAUCUUCUUUUUUGAAGAAAAUGUUCCUCACUUCCCUGCUUAAUAUAAAUAUAAAUGCCUUUGAACUAUUAGGAAUUAUUUUCUUUGUACAAUCACAAAUUAUUUUCAGUUUUCAUGUUAGGCCUUGCCUGCAAUGAUUGCGUUGUGUUGAAUUAGUGCUUAAUUAGUUGUUAUAGCAAGAAGAGAAAGUGUUAUGAAGUCCAACAAUUGCUUUUGGUUGUUGGUUUUAUUUCUACAAUCCCCAACACUCUACUUUUUUUGCACCUAGAUACUAGGUUCCUCCCUCGGAAUAGUUUCUGAAUAGUUUCACAAUGGUGACAAAGAAAGAAUUGAUUUCCUUUUUUCUAUGAUCCUGGAAUCAUGAGUUCAUGACAUAUAAUGUAUUAUUAUGUUCAUACCUUCAAGGUGGAUUAUAACAUGAUGUACCUUGUCAUUUAUUUUUCUCUCAUGUUCAUGCAAACAUUUCUUUGAGAAUAUUCAAUUUUUCACCCGUACUGAAUUUUUUGGAGCUAUCGAACUAUCCCCCUACACUAAAAGUUUGACUACUACUGAAAGAUGUCAAGAUAAUCAUACUUCUUGUUCUUGACUUUACCCUGUUACUGUUGUACUAAACUUAAAUUUUUUGUAGUAAAAUUACGAAAAAGUUGGCUAUGUUUCAUUAAAAUAGGUCAUCUGAUGUGCACGUCGAUCCUUGCAAAGAUAUAUGUUUGACACAUUCAAUGUUGCAUCACUAUAAUAUUUAAACCCCCGUUGCAACUUGCAACGCACGUGCAAUUUCCUAGUGAAACACGAAUCAAUCAAUUUGAUUCAAAAUCAAAUUCCAAUUGAAUUAAAAGUUUAGUCCGCCCUCUGAUCCAAUUAAUUGUCACAACUUUAGUAAAGUUGUACUAAAGCUACGACCACUAAUUUGGCCCGGAGGGAGUAUUAAAAAUAAAUAAUAUGUUUGAUAUUUGUUUCUUAAAUGUUACAUAAAAAGGCAAGCUAUUUAAUUUGUAAAAUUUUGGUACAUUGAAUUGUAAUCCCUGGUUCAUACUUUAAAAAUAUUGCUUGAAACUAGUUGGAACUUGACCAUGGAGGUCUCAGCAAGAUAUGUUAACUUUAGUAUUUGAAUUUCAAUCUCGGAUUCGCACAAAAUAUACAUUAAAAUCAAUUGAAAAAUGGUGUCGAUGGGCUACUUUGACUUUCAUGGCAUAUUAAAUCAUUCAAAUGGCUCUUACAUAUUUCAUAAAUGAAUUUCUAAGGGCAUGCUACGCAUCCGAUAAAACUUUCAAAAUAUCACCUCGACACCCAUUAAAUAUGGCGCCAUACAGCAGCCCAACCCCACCCUCACCAUUGCAAUAAAGGCAGUGUUAUAGAACCCUUUGCAACAAAGCUCAUGUUGUAGAUUUUUUGAAACAUGGGUUGUUGGGAAUGUUCCCCAUGGAUAUGACCCAAUUCAGUAAUGACCUAGCAAAGUGCCCAAGGUACUAUGGGUCAGUCCAAACCCGGGUCAUGAAGAUGUAGAGAAGAAGAGCCAGGCCUAUGGCAGAACCUGUCCGUAGGCCGGUUCAGGAGAGGACCUUACGGGUUGGCUUACGGAGAAGGCCCACAUGAAGUGUCUCUUGAUCUAGGAGAUAAGUCGAAUAAGAGAUAGACUAGAACACGGGUUGACAAACACGACCCAGACUCUCUUGCAACCUUAAGGGUUCAACCUACUAUAUAAAGGGGAGCCUUAGGGAUGAAAAAGGCUAAGUUAGAAACCCUCGAGAGCUGAGUUAGCGAUUCACACUCUUGUAAUCGAGAUCAUCAUCAUCAAUAACAAUCAAGCAAAACGUAAGCUUUUACCUUCAUUAGAGGGGCCGAACCUAGGUAAACUCGUAUCUUGUUGGGGAACGUCGCAUGGGAAACAAAAAAUUUCCUACGCGCACGAAGACCUAUCAUGGUGAUGUCCAUCUACGAGAGGGGAUGUGUGAUCUACGUACCCUUGUAGACCGUACAGCAGAAGCGUUAGUGAACACGGUUGAUGUAGUGGAACAUCCUCACGUCCCUCGAUCCGCCCCGCGAACCGUCCCGUGAUCAGUCCCACGAUCUAGUGCCGAACGGACGGCACCUCCGCGUUCAGNNNNNNNNNNNNNNNNNNNNNNNNNNNNNNNNNNNNNNNNNNNNNNNNNNNNNNNNNNNNNNNNNNNNNNNNNNNNNNNNNNNNNNNNNNNNNNNNNNNNUUUUUUGUAAAUAUUUAGUUGCUCCAAAUAAUCCUUUUGUAAUUUAUUAAAUUGGUCAUAAUUUCUUAUGACCAGGGACAUUUUUUUUGUUUUGAACCCCAACAGAUUUGUCUUUGCUUUAUUUUCUUUCUCUGUUUAUUUUUUGUAUUUGGAAAACCCCAGGAAAUUAUUUUCCUUCUAUCUGGCGCUACUAGUGGGCUCCCUCCCACUAGCAGGCCCAUCUCUCCUCUCUACCGCGUUGCAGCCCACCUGCGCGUCCCUCCUUCCUCCUCCUCACGGUGUAUACCCCCGUGCCCGCUUUCCAUCAGACAAUCGAGAGAGAGAGAGAGAGAGUCGCCGUGAGGGCUCACGGACGUCGAGGCCCCACCAUAAAUCAUUGGCGUCCGUGCCCCUCCUUUCCCUAGGGUUCCGUGUCCCCUCCUAGCGCCGCUGCCACCUCCCUCCAUCUCUCCUUCCCCUCAGGUAAGGGCUCUGUAGAUAGGUUGCAGAGAGAGAGAGAGAAGUGCACCGUGACGUCCUCCACGCCUCCAUCGUCUCCGGCGCCAUCCAGCAUGUUCGGGGGCUCGAAGGGGAUGCCCGCGCUCCAUUCCCGUCCUCGGUGAGGCCGGGGAGCGACCUCACCAAUGGGCAGGAGUUCGUCUACGGCGUGCACCCGUUAGUCUUCUUCCUCUACUUCGAUCUGCAGCAGGCCAUCUUCUUCAGUUCAUCUACAUCGUCUCCAUGCGCUCCUUCUUCCCGAUCAGCGUCUCUUCUCCUUCCCUUAGGUGAGCUAGCUCUCCUCCUCCCUUCCCCCUCGAUUAGAUCAGCCUAGGGCUCGUCGGCAUACCUCUGUCCCGAGAGGGUUUGACAGAUGCAGUGCAUGUGUUGCUGCAUGUGUUGUGUGUGGCGUGCUCGGUAGAUGCAGAGCAGAGCAGAGGCUUUCCCUCGCAGCACAGUGGUAGCCGUAGUAGAUCUCCCCCUCGCGUAGAAGUAGUAGUAGCGAGGCCCUGCUCCGGUGGUGUUCUCUGCCGCCGGCAUCUCUGUGUUCACAUCAGAGCAUCUGGUGCAUAUUGAAAGGAUCGAUAUGGUUGACUAGAGGGGGGGGGGUGAAUAGGCAACGACCACUUUUUAAUUAAUCUUAGCAAGUUAGGGUAAACAGCAUACGGGUCCACAAAUAUAACAACAAUGGGGUGAACCGUAAUGAAGCUAACAACGAGAGCUACUAGAACAAGUAAGAGAUAGACAACAACAUAAGCAUUCAGAAAGUAAAGGUUAGAGAUAACCGCAAGUGGAACCAAUGAAGACGAGGAUGUGUUACCGAAGUUCCUUCCCUUUGACAGGAAGUACGUCUCCGUUGGAGCGGUGUGGAGGCACAAUGCUCCCCAAUAAGCCACUAAGGCCACCGUAUUCUCCUCACGCCCUCGCACGAUGCAAGGUAUCGUGAUUCCACUAUAGGUGCCCUAGAAGGCGGCGACCGAACCUUUACAAACGAGGUUGGGGCAAACUCCACACAAAGCUUGGAGGGUCCCAACAAGACCACGNNNNNNNNNNNNNNNNNNNNNNNNNNNNNNNNNNNNNNNNNNNNNNNNNNNNNNNNNNNNNNNNNNNNNNNNNNNNNNNNNNNNNNNNNNNNNNNNNNNNGGGGGCAACCCACCCCGGGGAAGCCCAUAGGCAUUGAGGGUGGCGCACCAGCCCUUAGUGGGCUGGUGGGACAGCCCAAAAGAGCCCUAUGCGCAUUGGAAGAAAAAUCAAAGAGAAAAAAAAGAGGAGGUGGGAAAGGGAAGAAGGACUCCACCUUCCAAACCAAGUAGGACUCCGUUUGGGGGGGGAGACCUUCCCCUUUAGGUUCGGCCGACCCCCUUGGGAGUACUUGGACCCCAAGGCAAGGCUCCCCCUCCUCCUCCUAUAUAUAGUGGGGUUUUAGGGCUGAUUUGAGAUAACUUUGCCACGGCAGCGCGACCACAUAUCUCCACGGUUUUACCUCUAGAUCGCGUUUCUGCGGAGCUCGGGCGGAGCCCUGCUGAGACGAGAUCAUCACCAACCUCCGGAGCGCCAUCACGCUGCUGGAGAACUCAUCUACCUCUCCGUCUCUCUUGCUGGAUCAAGAAGGCCAAGAUCAUCGUCGAGCUGUACGUGUGUUGAACGCGGAGGUGCCGUCCGUUCGGCACUAGAUCGUGGGACUGAUCGCAGGACGGUUCGCGGGGUGGAUCGAGGGACGUGAGGACGUUCCACUACAUCAACCGCGUUCACUAACGCUUCUGCUGUAUGAUCUACAAGGGUACGUAGAUCACACAUCCCCUCUCGUAGAUGGACAUCACCAUGAUAGGUCUUCGUGCGCGUAGGAACAUUUUUGUUUCCCAUGCGACGUUCCCCAACACACUCCGGGAUCACCAAGUUUCUUAGGAGUUCCACCCUUGAAAGUAUAGUUGGCCAGCAUGGUGGAGAUCUCGAGAUCCGGUAUCUUCCGUUUAUUAGUCACGAUAUCUUUAAUGUACUUGGCAUACGGAGACAUCUUGAGCAUAUCAGUUAACCGUCUGCAGAAAGACGGGUCUGAUCAUCUGAACGAAACGCUCAAAAUCCUCAUCAUCCUUUUUCUUGGAUGGCUUAGGAGGAAAGGGCAUCGGUCUCUGAACCCAUGGCUCUCUUUCUUUAUGAUGCUUCCUAGCAGUGAAGUCAUUCUUGUCGUAUCUCUUAGGUUGUGGAUUAUCAGGAUUAACCGUACGUUCAAUCUCCACAUCCUCAUCAUUGCUAGGUUGAGCAUUAUUAUGAACAUCACUGUCCACAUUGGCACCAGGUUCAUGUUCAUCACCUAAUUGUGUUUGUGCAUCAGAUGCAGAAAUAUCAUUAGGUUCUUCAGGUGUGACAGUAUUUGGUGAACUGGCAUGCAAGUUUCUACCAUCCUUCUUCUUCUCCUUAGGAUGACCAGGUGUAUCAGCAUUGAUUCCUUGAGAAUCUUGAUCAAUUCUCUUAGGAUGACCUUCGGGAUACAAAGGUUCCUGAGUCAUUUUGCCUCCUCUAGUAAUGACUCUGACAGAGUUGUCAUUUAAUUCAUUGAGCAGGUCAUUCUGAGCUUUAAGUACUUGUUCUACCUGAGUAGUAAUCAUAGAGGCAUGUUUACUCAGAAGCUUCAGAUCAUUGACAUUUCUGUCUACACAAGCACUUAAAUGGCUAAGCAUACGCGUACUCUGUCCCAAAUGUCUGCUAACAUAAUCAUUGAAACUCUGUUGUUUGGCAACAAAGUUGUCAAAUUCAUCAAAGCAUAGGCUAGCAGGUUUAUCAAAAGGAAUAUCACUCUCAUCAAACCUACGCAGAGAAUUCACUUCUACUACCUGUAUCGGGUUAUCGAGACCAUGGAUCUCUUUGAUAGGUGGUAGAUUUUUGACAUCUUCAGAUCUAAUGCCUUUCUCUUGCAUAGAUUUCUUGGCUUCUUGCAUAUCUUCGGGACUGAGGAAUAGAAUACCUCUUUCCUUUGGAGUUGGCUUAGGAGGUGGUUCGGGAAUAGUCCAAGCAAUAUCGUUGAUCAAGAGAUUAUUCAGUAGGGUCUCAGCUUGUUCUACAGUUCGUUCCCUAAAAACACAACCGACACAACUAUCUAGGUGGUCUCUAGAGGCAUCGGUAAGUCCGUUAUAGAGGAUAUCAAGUAUCUCGUUCUUCUUAAGAGGGUGAUCAGGCAAAACAUUUUGUAGCUAGACGAGCCUCCCCCAAGCUUGUGGAAGACUCUCUUCUUGGAGUUGAGCAAAGUUGUAUAUUUCCUGCAAGGCAGCUUGCUUCUUAUGGGCAGGGAAAUAUUUCUCACAGAAGUAAUAGUGUAACAUCCCAAAAUUAUAAAUUUUGGAAUGUUAAUAUAAUUAUUAGAUUGAUUGUUUGUUUGUUUGAUCAGUGACUGAAACUUGUGUGAAAUUUGAAACUUUUCAAAACUUUUGAAUGAGAGGGAAUAAAAUGACUUUCCCCUUCUCCGGUGAAUUCAAAUUNNNNNNNNNNCUGAGUGAUUGAAACUUGUGUGAAAUUUGAAACUUUUCAAAACUUUUUAAUGAGAGGGAAUAAAAUGACUUUCCCCUUCUCCGGUGAAUUCAAAUUCAAUCUUUUAGAAGCAAAGAGAGAAGAUGACAUGACUUCUUCAACUAUAAAGAAUUUGAACGGAGAUAUUUGCAUUGAAUUCUUUUGCAUUUCCAUUCGUUUUCUUCGUGCAACAAAAUGCCGGGAAAUAUAUUCGGUCAAACAGAAAAGAGCGGAGGAACAUGACCCUCAAAUACCUGGGCAUUUUGAAUGUUAUUUGCACCCUCAAACUUAGAGGAUCAUUUGAAAAUUAUUUGCAAAAGAAAAUAAACCUUUUUGGAAAUUUUGUGAAAAUAAUUUUUUCUGAAGUUUGUAUUUUUGCCGUGGAAAAAUGCCCAUCAUCUAUAUUUUAUUUUUCUGANNNNNNNNNNUCUUUUUGGCAAUUUUGUGAAAAUAGUUUUUUCUGAAGUUUUUAUUUUUGCCGUGGAAAAAUGCCCAUCAUCUAUAUUUUAUUUUUCUGAUAAUUUUAGUAUAUAAAAACUCUUUAUUCCGAAUUGAUUCGCUUUCCUUUUUAACGUUUUAGUUUCCUAGUUUUAAGAAUAGGAAGGAGAUCACUUUUAUUAGGAAAACUUUAGGUGGCCCAUUAAGCACUUUCCAAAUUUGGCCCAGGAGAUCUUCUUCUUCCUCCUCUCUCCCACGUGACAGAGAAACCUUCCAUCCAUGGAGGAAGGAAUCCCCUCCUUCCCGAUCUCCCUCCUCCUUCCUUCCGGGCGCCAUCCGAGGCCGCCUAUAAAUUCACCUCGUCCCCCUCUCUCCAUUUUUCCCGAGAAAACCUCCUCUCCUCGUCUCUAACUCGUGCCCCACCUCGCCGGAGUUGUCACCGGGGAACAACAGAAACUCCUCCACCAGCAGUUCCCACGUCGGCCUCCUCGCCUUCGGCACCCUCCUCCACCUCGCCCCCUGUAGCCCCCCUCCACCUCNNNNNNNNNNGAGGAGAUCUUCUUCUUCCUCCUCUCUCCUACGUGACAGAGAAACCUUCCAUCCAUGGAGGAAGGAACCCCCUCCUGCCCGAUCUCCCUCCUCCUUCCUUCCGGGCGCCAUCCGAGGCCGCCUAUAAAUUCACCUCGUCCCCCUCUCUACAUUUUUACCGAGAAAACCUCCUCUCCUCGCCUCUAACUCGUGCCCCACCUCGCCAGAGUUGUUACCGGAGAACAACAGAAAACUCCUCCACCAGCAGUUCCCACGUCGGCCUCCUCCCCUUCGGCACCCUCCUCCACCUCGCCCCCUGUAGCCCCCCUCCACCUCNNNNNNNNNNNNNNNNNNNNNNNNNNNNNNNNNNNNNNNNNNNNNNNNNNNNNNNNNNNNNNNNNNNNNNNNNNNNNNNNNNNNNNNNNNNNNNNNNNNNAGGCCCCUCUGCGGUGGAGGUAACAGCCCUACGUCUCAGUGCUCUCGGAGCUUGUUACCGAGUGUAAUAUGGAAUACAGUGAUUUGCUAACCCCUUGACCAGUGGGAGAGGGUGGCUUAUAUAGAGUGCGCUGCCCUCCACAACGGUUCUGACUCAGGGGUGGAGUAGUGGCGAUUGAAUGCAUACGUUACAGGUAAUGUAUGCUCUAAAUGCUAAUAAACACACCCGGAAACGUACGACAGUUUCCCUCCAGAGAGGUUACGAUGUACUGAGUGUAUCCAGUCGGUUGGCCUGGUGCCCUCCGAAUGCUAGUCUCCGACUGGAUGAUUCCGGGCCUGUUACCGACUGGAUGGUGGGGACUCCUUAAUUCAGUCGGGGUAGACUUAAGGUCCUGUCCUUUUUGUGGGUUAGUCCUUGGGUUGGACAUCUAGGGCAGGCCGAUGACCCUACCCUAGGACUAUGACCCCAUCAUUAGUCCCCGAAUGGAUUGGGGUUGGAACGCUGAAGCAGUGCUUGAGGUUCAGAUCCGACUGGACUAGGUUCGGCUUGGGCGUUGCUUGCCUCUAUCCAUUUUAUCUCUCUUGCCCAGCGCUCCGAGUGGAGGUGCUUGCGAAACGGACUGUCGGUCACCGAGUGCUUCCGCGACAUCUUUUGACGCGACCGGUCAACUGACAACGGCGGAUUUUCCGGGAUCUCAAAUUUCGGGUUCCGCGCGCUCAGCGGGGACGACGUCAGCGCGCUCGAGUAGCGCCUGACUCCUCGAUCCUCGCACCUUCAACUCCUCCACUGAUAUCGCCGCGGCCGGUCGGGCAGAUAAGAUUUCGGGCCCAUUCGCUAGUGACCCAGUCGGCGCUCUAUUUAACUCUGGGCGGCGAAACUCCUCGGUUACGCUCGCCGAAUCUUUCGCUCCCGCCUGCUCCGUCUUCCACGCCACCCCCUGCGCACCUAAGCUCCUUCCUCCUCCUCCUCCUUGAGGACUCGCCGUCGCCUCCAUGACCAAGGGUCAGACCAGCAAGAUGGAGGCGAGGAAGAAGAAGAACAAGGCGGCGGCUGCUCAACGGUGGCAGCGGCCGCUGCCAGCGGGGUGGAUCCAAGGAGAUUUCCUCCCCUCCACGGUGACGGAGGGGGACCUGCUGGAGCUGGUGGAGCACGGCAUGCUCGUGCAUAAGUCCCGGAGGCUGCCGGCGGACGACGAGGUCGAGCCGGCGCCACGGGAGGGGGAGCGCGUCUUGCUCCUCAACCAUGUUCACAGAGGUUUUUCUCUUCCCCCGCAUCCCUUCUUCAAAGGCAUCAUGAAUCACUUUGGUGCUCAACUCCAUCACUUCCCCCCGAAUGCCAUCGCCCAUCUUUCUGCCUUCAUUGUUUUGUGCGAGUGCUUUAUCGGUUGCCCUCCCCAUUGGGGUUUAUUCAAACACAUCUUCUCCGCCCGCUCCCAAACCAUAAAACGUCUUAGUCAGUCGGACGACAAGACGCAUCUCCUCCAGCUCUGUGGGGGUUUAGGGUUCCAGAAGAAGAGUCGGAGCAGCUACCCUGCUCUCCAGUUGAGCGAGUCGGUUAGGAACUGGCAGUCGACGUGGUUCUACUGCCAGGACAUAGCCUGUCCGAAUGCGUCGACUGGGCUGCCUCCGUUUAGCCUAGACCGUCCCGCUCCACCCAAGCAACUCGCGCUCUCGAAGGCCGAGAAGAACGAUAUCCAGCCUUUGGUCAAGGCACUCGUGGAUGUUGUCAGGAGGGGGGUCACCGGUAUUGACCUGCUGGAAGUCUUCAUCGGUCGGCGGAUCCAGCCUCUGCAGGCCCGCGACCAUGCUAUGUGGCACUACACAGGGCCCGAGGAUUCCACUCGGACCAACGUGGUGGGCAUACUCGAGGAGAAGGUGACCUCAUGGGUGCUCCAAAUCACGGGUCCCUGUGAGAACCCCAAAGGAGCCCGCCGAGUGACGCCUUACAGCGCGAACAACCCUCCACCGAAUCAGGUGAGUGGCAUUAGCCGAGUGCAUUGAACUGUCUUGAUUCUAGUUGUUUAUUUAUAUCCUCGUGUGAUGCUUAACGUUUCCGACUGAACCUCAUGCAGGAGUGGACCAACUGGUUCUCCCCCGUCUCGAAUGGGAAUUCGGAGGAGGAAGAGGAGGAAGGCAGCCAGGAGGGGAGCGUGGAGAGCGCCGAAUACGUCUCCGACAGCGGGGAGUCAGAGGAGGAGGACAGCGAGGAAGAGGAAGAGGACGAAGAGCGCGACUCGCCACCUCCACGGCCAGAGCAUCAGAGUAAGCGUCGACACGAGCCCGCCGUCCCUUCAGCUCCUCCUGCGUCGUCGAGCGCUCCGCCUGCUGCUCCGGUGGCCCUGAGUGCUCGAGGCACGAAAAGGUCCAGGGACGCAGCCGCUGAGCCCGCAGGCCAGUCUUCCAGGGCGCCCAAACCGAGUGGGCCCAAACCUCGAAAGGCUUUGCCACGCAUGAGGGUUUCCAUCCCCGUCACGUCCACGUAAGUGACUCUAACUUUCGGCUUUUUAUGUUAUCCGAGUGAACUCCUGCUUUACAAGUUGAAUGGACUUCACUCGACAGGGUCGCCACUUCUGCAACCUCUCCGGCCCGCCCAGGGGAUGACCCCAUGGACACGGACAAUGUCGUCUCGUCCCAGCCAGGUAUGUUGUAGGAGAGUCGGGUGUUUUAUUCCUGCAGACUGUGUCAUUCUUUUCUUUUUCUGAGGCGCCAUGUUAUUUGGCUUGUCAGGGGCGAUCUGCCUGGAUGAGGGCGACCAGGGGAGAGCCGACCCCGCCGUGGAGCCUGUCCUGGAGUCUGUCCUUGAGGCCGCUCCUCCUGCCGCCACACCUGCUGCCGACGCUCCGCCGACCGAAGCGCCGCCACCGACUGACCCGGGGCUGGUGGGGGAGGAGCCGACUGGGGCGGACCUUGGGAUGCCCCAAGAACCUUCGACGAUUCCCGGUUCGUCGAAUGCUGAAUUCAGCAUCCGGUGUCUUUCGGAGGAGCAGGUGGGAGCGGCCAAGGGGGCCAUGGUCCAGGCGGAGCUGAUGGCUGGAGAGGCCAAGAGGGCUUAUGACUCCGUUGCGGCUUUGUACCAGCGGAGCUUGGAGCUGCGCGAUGACAUCCGAGUAAGUAGUCUAGUAAGUACUUACUUUUCUUCUGUAACCCACUUGGUGGUAUUGAUUUUUGCAAUGGGUUCACUCCGAGUGAACCCAGUGGGUGUAGUCCCCGAGACUUCUGUCGAGUGCGUGCACCGACAGUUGUCUUUAUACAUUUUGUCGUUAAGUUGGUUGUGUCCGUAGACAGGAUUUCCGAGUGCGAGUACUUAUUGCAAUCGGAACGCUCUUGCGGUAAGAGUCUCCGAGAGUAAGUUGCACGCAGGUCGAGUAGUAUUGGCCUCGGAGGAGUAGUAUUUCCGAGUGCACCUCAAUAGGGCGGGCCUGUUUGAGGUGCAUGCCAGUGGGGUCACUCUCAGUGAACCCACUGGGUGUAGUCCCCGAGAUCGCUGUCGACUGCUUGCGUCGGCAGGGGUCUGAAGAACUUAGGCUGAGAAUUGAUAAACUUGCUGAUUCUCCUUUGUUUCUUGGUGCAGAAAACUUGUGAAAUGGGAAUGGCUUAUGAAGCCCUGAGAGCGGAGAGGAACUAGUAUGCUGGUGAACUGGAAGCUGCAACACUCGCCAUGGCCGGUUUGAAGGACGCUCUGGAAGUAUGAGAGAAGUCCUUGGAGGAGGCUCUGGAGGCAAACAGGGUGUUGAUGGCCGAGGUGGAGAGACUGAAGAAACAGAGGACUGAGCUGCACAAUCAAAUGGCUGUUCAGAACAUACGAUACAUAGCUCAGGAAAAGUAUGUCAACGACUGGGCUGUGCAGAUGAUGACUCGUCUGGCUGGUAAGUCGUAUGUUCUCCCGAGUGUUUGUACCGUGUGUCGUGCACUCGGUUUUUAUUGUCUGCUUGUCCGUUUGCUGCAGAUUUUUGCGGCGACGCUGAAGCUGAAGCGGCGGCUGUGGAGCGGUCUAUUAAGGAGAAUGUUCCACUCAGCGAGGACGCCAACCGGGAUCUGCUCCGAGCACAUAUCCGCGUAGGCAAAGUAGGUCCUUUCAUCGGUCGACUGAGAGAAGUCAUCGGCCGAAUUAACAAGGAACUUUGGCCAGAAGACGAGUCGCGGCAGGGGAUGGAGACCCUGACGGGGCGACUGGAGGAGGUUCCGAGUCGAGUGCAAUCCUGGAAGAAAUCGGCAGCGCGUUGCGGUGCUGAUGUUGCGCUGUCCUUGGUCCGAGUCCAUUGCAAGGAGGUGCGGGAAGAUAAGCUGAAAGCAUUGAAGGUCGCCAACACGAAGAAGCUUCGAUUCGAAGACUUCAUGGAGACGUUCCUUGAGACCGCUACCCGCAUCGCUGAUGGAAUCGACUUGGACACUUUUGUGGAGCCCUCCAGUCCUGACGCCGGCCCAGCUGACGCUUGAUCAAACUUUAUCCUCGGUAUGCCGAGUGUUUACCUGUAAGAUACUCUGGCCACUUGUGUUGGCCGUCAUACUUUUAAGUCGGUGCGGGUAAGCUUAUUCCGCACCGAGUCAAUUAUUGUUUCUAGACUGUUGGAGUCGAAAUGAAAACAUUUAGUCUUUUGUUUGAAUGCUGUUUCGAGCGCAAUACUUAGUGCAUACUCGGAGAAGAUUAAGACUUAGGUGAUUCUUGGUCACGUCUAAGUUCCCGAGUGCGACUUGCAGAGCACACUCGGAGGAAGUUAUUACUUUGGUGAUUCUGGAUCACGUCUAAGUCCACGAGUGUGACGUGUAGUACACACUCGAAGGAGGUGGUUACUUAAGUGAUUCUUGAUCACGUCUAAGUCCCCGAGUGUGACGUAUAGUGCACACUCGGAGGAUGUUACUACUUAGGCGAUUCAGGAUCGCAGCUAAGUCCCCGAGUGUGACGUAUAGUGCACACUCGAAGGAGGUUAAUACUUAGGCGAUUCAGGAUCGCAGCUAAGUCCCCGAGUGUGACGUAUAGUGCACACUCGGAGGAGGUUAGUACUUAGGCGGUUCAGGAUCGCAGCUAAGUCCCCGAGUGUGACGUAUAGUGCACACUCGNNNNNNNNNNUGACGUAUAGUUCACACUCGGAGGAAGUUAUUACUUAGGUGAUUCUUGAUCACAGCUAAGUCCCCGAGUGCGACGUAUAGUGCACACUCGAAGGAGGUUAAUACUUAGGCGAUUCAGGAUCACAGCUAAGUCCCCGAGUGUGACGUAUAGUGCACACUCGAAGGAGGUUAGUACUUAGGCGAUUCAGGGUCGCGGCUAAGUCUCCGAGUGCGACGUAUAGUGCACACUCGAAGGAGGUUAAUACUUAGGCGNNNNNNNNNNNNNNNNNNNNNNNNNNNNNNNNNNNNNNNNNNNNNNNNNNNNNNNNNNNNNNNNNNNNNNNNNNNNNNNNNNNNNNNNNNNNNNNNNNNNGUAGGGCUGUUACCUCCACCGCAGAGGGGCCUGAACUCACACAACCUCUCCGUAGCUAGGACUCUGCCCAUCUCAUUCGUACCCUACACAUCUACUGUCAGGCUUAUACCCACGACAGUAACAUAGCACAUACAUAAAUAGUAGAAUGACAAUAAGGGGUUCAACUGCCAUCUCAUAAAUAUAUCAGAGUUACAUCACGCAUCCAAACAAGGUAGUUCCACUACGGACUACAAAACAUGAGAAAUGACUAUGCUACCCUGCAUGCUUGCCCACGAUCACGACCACGCCUCAGUCUUCUGGAUAGUUCACGUACAGGCGGUCGUUCUCCUCAUCGUACUGCCAUGCCAGCUGCGUGCCGUCGGGAUCACCUGUCUCGGGGGUACCUGAACCUGUUGGUGUUGUGAAGGAAUCUGUGAGCCACGGGGACUCAGCAAUCUAUGACCUCGUGCCGGAUGUUAACAAAUUAUCCAUGUUUGCCACAUAACCACGGGCACGGCUUUCCGAAGAUUAAACCCUGCAGGGGUGCUCCAACUAGUCCAUCACAAACGGAAACGGGCCGCAAAGUAAUCCUCUAUCACGAAUCUCGUGAUCUCGUUGGAUUCCUUAGAGGAAAACCUCAACUCUGGGAAGAUCCAAAGCUUCGUCGGGAUUCCUAUACGCAAGAUAUAUCGCUAAGGUAAGACAAGACUAGCAGGACCUCCCGUCGUGUCGGCGACCCCGAUAAGAGCUGCGUAUCUCAGUCUUAGGACACGACGGAUGAGUGAUGGUUACCACGCCAAAACACCGAGUUGCCCCAGGGAGCGUAAUAAGUUGCUCUGGGUUGGACCAACACUCACGAGGAGCACUGGCCCGGGUUGUUGAUUAAAUUCCUCGGGGUAGCUAUUCCCUAUGCAGAUUAUUAUGAAGUGAUUAGCAAAUUAACACCAAUGUUGGGUCUUGUGGGACAAGUCUUAACACUACACGAUUUAUCAAGGGGGUCCCCAUAACAACCCCGAAAGUGUUAGGAGCGAUCAGUUAUGGAAUCAAACACCGAUAGCCGGUAACUAUGGCAGCAAUAACAGAACAAAACACCCGGCAAAAGGCUAGGCCUUCCGUUAUUUACCAAGUAUAUAGGUGCAUUAAUUAAAUAACAGAUUUAACAUAAUGAUAUCAAGCUCAUGUUAUCACAUGAGACAAAAACACCUGCAACUAGCAACGCUAACAUUAGUAGCUGAGCAAGCCUACUUACCCCAUUCAAGAUUUGCUAGGAAGGGAUAAGUGUUUGGGUUUCAUGGAAAUAUCAGGAGGCAAUUAUUUCAGUGGUAGGCAGCGAGCAUAUGACGGAAGAAACGUAAUCUAGCAUAAGAAGUCUAGAGAUGGAAUCAAGGUCAUAUCAUCUUGCAUGUGAUGUCCUCAGCUUGGAACUGCUCUUGUUCGUCCUGCACGUACUCUCCCGGAUCCACGUACUCGUUCUCCGAUCCCGGUGCUACCCAACAUAAAAAUAGCAUGCAAUGAACAACAGCACCUCAAGAUGCAACAAGCACCUGAUGCAUGAGAUGAAAAUGGACAUGCAUCUCUAUUCUACUCACUAGCACAAGCAUGAGAAGAAAAUACAAGUUCCUGGGCAUAACUGCACUCUAAGCUAUCUUUACAUGCAUGAGGAUGACAUGAAUAGAUGCGUCGCGUGAAAACGAUGCAAAACCAUAUAAAGAACGUUACAAAUGGAGCUACGGAUCAACGUGAAACAACGAAACAAGAAAUGACGUCCUAUGUAUCAAAAUCAUCACAACACACACCAAUGGCAUGCUUCUGGUAUUUCCAGGUUUCCCAGACAUAAAACAAACCAACAUGGAUGGGGUGGUGCAAAUAAUUUCACCACACCAUCAACUAUGCACUCACAAGGAUCAAAACAUCAAAAUUAUACAAUCUGCCAUAAACAGCAUCAUAGCCUUUUGAGAGCUACAUGCAAAGCACCUACAGCCACCCAAACAUGUCAAAAAGGAUAUGUGGCAGAAGCUAUCCAAGUUACUACAAGCACACGCAAAAAUAUAUUGCAAAGAAGUUUCACAUAGAAAGUUACACAGCUGCUAACUUGGCCAAAAAUAUCAGUUUUCAGGGACUUCGUGAAAAUUCCAGAUUCUCACUAGUUGUUUAUGCUCUGAAGCAUUUUGACAGCACCCAAAACAAUAUCUACAUGGGUCCAAAUGGAAUGAAAAUUUACAGAGAGCUAGAAAAGCACAAAAGCUAUAACUUUCGAGUUUAUAGCAAAGGCUAAUUCACAACAUAUGGACCUCUACAAGCACAUCAACAGGAGAAGAAAAUAUAAGAAGAUUCUCAAACUUAGUGAAAAUCACAGAUUUUCACUAAACUGGAAUUUCAGCCACAUGCCUACUUUGACUAAUCACCACUUUCACAUAAGAACUACUAAGCAUGAUACAAAACCAACAUGUGGUAGAGGGGUUCACCCUCUACUGCCACAACAAAGAAUCAACCUCUUGGGCUCACCACAUCUCAUGGAACCAAGCUCUAAACAUAGAACAAAUCUGUAAUUGACAUUCCCAGAAAGUGUUCCAAAGGCAAAACUGACUUCACCAAUGGAUUCCUGGGAUGAUUAUACCCCAAAAACAUAUAUAAAACAUGGGCACUUGCAUAGAACAAUUGGGCACAAACUAGAAAAGAAAAUCUACAUGGAAUCACAUAUAGUGAAUAGUGCAACUUCACAUGUGCUAUUCACUAGAACAACACCUACACAAGCACUUGCACUCCAUAAACACUACAUUGGUGCACAUGAGGGGUAGACCUCAUGCUCUUGUGCCUUAGCACACCACCACACACCACACACAUCAAACACUAGCAAGAAAGCACCUACACAUGCUAAAUAGAACACGCCACUAUCUACACACACAUCAUGCCUCUCUACCCUACACAUACAACACAUGUGCUUAUCAUGGCACAUCAUGCCAUGGCAUGUGUGAGACACACACACAUAAGCACACACACACACUCACAUGCAUCAUCACAAGGUAUGUGGGAGGAAAACCCACACACACAUGCACCUCACUCUUGCACCAUUAGUGCAUGAGCUCAACUCUCAUCAUGCACAUAUGUUCCACACACACACACACCACAUGCAUCAUCACAUGGAGCCAUACACUCACAAGGUGCACACACACACAUGAUACUUACACAAACAUACACCACACAACCUACACAUGCAUUCACCACCUGCUAGCAACAAAAUAAUAGCUACAACCUACUGUUGAGAGCUAAAAAUAAUGUCACAAGGUGAUCUAACACCUACACAUCAACUACACAAUCAACCAAGAGCAAAACAGUAAAGGAGGGCAAAAUAAAUAAAAAGGAGGGGGUUGGGAUCGAACCCAGGACCCCCUGGACAUCACCUGCAACUCCUACCACUCUGCUACUGCCACUAGUUCGACAGAACAGAGAGGCUCUUGCAAGGUAAGUCACUAUGCGCUACUGCAGCUACUGUGCCGAAUAAUAAGCAAAAAAGGGGGUGGCACGUGCAGGACUCAAACCCACCACCUCACCAACAACACACACACACGCUAUGGCCACUACGCUACGCUUCGGGAUCUUGACAGAGAAGGGGAUCUCUACCAGGUAACCUACACAUGCACCAGAUGCUCUGCUCUGAACACAGAGACGCCGGCGGCAGAGAACACCACCGGAGCAGGGCCUUGCUGCUGCUGCUUCAACGCGAGGGGGAGAUCCACUACGGCUACCACUGCUCUACGAGGGAAAGCCUCUGCUCUACUCUGCAUCUACCGAGCACGCCACACACAACACAUCCAGCAACACAUGCACUGCAUCUGUCAAACCCUCUCGGGACAGAGGUAUGCCGACGAGCCCUAGGCCGAUCUAAUCGAGGGGGAAGGGAGGAGGAGAGAUGGCUCAACUAAGGGAAGGAGAAGAGACGCCCAUCGAGAAGAAGGAGCGCCUGGAGACGAUGUAGAUGAACUGAAGAAGAUAGCCUACUGCAGACCAAAGUAGAGGAAUAAGACCGACGGGUGCACACCGUAGACGAGCUCCUGCCCGUCGGUGAGGUCGCUCCCCGGCCUCACCAAGGACGAGAAUGGAGCGCGGGCAUCCCCUUCGAGCCCCCGGACAUGCUGGCCGGCGCCGGAGACGACGGAGGCGUGGAGGACGUCGCGGUGCACUUUUCUCUCUCUUUGCAACCUAUCUACAUAUCCCUUACCUGAGGGGAAGGAGAGAUGGAGGGAGAUGGAGGGAGGUGGCGGCGGUGCUAGGAGGGGACACGGAACCCUAGGGAAAGGAGGGGCACAGACGCCAAUGCUUUAUGGGGGGCCUCGAUGUUCGUGAGCCCUCACGGCGACUCUCUCUUUCUCGGUUGUUUGACGGAAAGCGGGCACGGGGGUAGACGCCGUCAGAAGGAGGAAGCAGGGACGCGCAGGUGGGCUGCCGUGCAGUAGAGAGGAGGGAUGGGCCUGCUAGUGGGAGGGAGCCCACUAGUAGCGCCAGAUAGAAGGAAAAUAAUUCCCUGGGGUUUUCCAAAUACAAAAAAUAAACAGAGAAGGAAAAUAAAGCAAAGACAAAUCUGUUGGGGUUCAAAACAAAACAAAAAUGUCCCUGGUCAUAAGAAAUUAUGACCUAUUUGAAUAAAUUACAAAAGGAUUAUUUGGAGCAACUAAAUAUUUACAAAACANNNNNNNNNNNNNNNNNNNNNNNNNNNNNNNNNNNNNNNNNNNNNNNNNNNNNNNNNNNNNNNNNNNNNNNNNNNNNNNNNNNNNNNNNNNNNNNNNNNNUUUAUAGGAAAACAAAUUGGCAAGACAACCAAUAGUUACCAAAUGCAAGGAAGAAGAAAGAGAUAAUAGCAAUUUCAACAUAACGAGAGGUAAUUUGGUAACAUGAAAGUUUCUACCACAAUAUUUUCCUCUCUCAUAGCAAUUACAUGUGGGAUCAUAUUCAAAUUCAACAAUAUAGCUAUCCCAUAGGAUAUUCUUUUCAUGAUCCACAUGCAUGCAAAGUUGACGCUCUUCAAAAAUAGCGGGAUUAUCAUCAACUACAGUCAUGACUUCUCCAAACCCACUUUCAAUAUUAUUGCAAAUAUCAUUGCAACAAAUAGUGGACAUAGCAAAACUAGCAUACCCAAGCUUAGGGUUUUGCAUAUUUUUAGCAUGAUUGUCAUUAAUAGAAUUUAUAAUGAAAUCAUUGCAAUCAUGCUUUUCAUUCAAGGAGCCCUCGUGAAUCACUUCAUAAAUUUGUUCAUCACGAUUUUCAGAUUCACGCAUCUCAAGCAAAACUCCAUAGAGAAAGUCAAGUGCACUCAACUCACUAGCAAUUGGAUCAACAUAAUUGGAUAUCUUAAAGAGAUUAGCAAGUGGAUGAGGAUCCAUAUCACUAGAUUUUCAGCAAGCGAAGAUGCAAGCAUAUUGAAUGCACAUAGCACACGAGCAAAGGAAAGGCAAACGAAAAUGGCAAAUUGGUGAAGUGGGGGAGAGGAAAACGAGAGGCAACUCGCAAACAAAGUAAAUGCAAGAGAUGAGUUUGCGACACCUACUUGGAUGAGUUCUAGACUUGAUCCUCCCCGGCAACGGCGCCAGAAAUUCUUCUGCUAUGGUAACAAAAGUUCUUCCUUGGCGCUAGGAAUUCUUCUUGUUACUUCUCUUGUUUGGUCGGUUUUUCCCUUGAAGAGGAAAGGGUGAUGCAGCAUAGGCGCAGUAAGUAUUUCCCUCAAUUUGAGAACCAAGGUAUCAAUCCAAAAGGAGGGUCUCCUCAAGUCCAGAGUACCUGCGCAAACACAAACAAGCUUGCACCCAACGCUUCAAAGGGAUUGUCAAUCCCUUCAAGAUUGUNNNNNNNNNNNNNNNNNNNNNNNNNNNNNNNNNNNNNNNNNNNNNNNNNNNNNNNNNNNNNNNNNNNNNNNNNNNNNNNNNNNNNNNNNNNNNNNNNNNNUGGGACCUGGAUGUCCAUAUUGGAUCCUACAUAUUCUACGAAGAUCUUAUCGGUUGAACCUCUGUGCCAACGAUUCAUAUAAUCCUGUAUGUCAUCCCGUUUGUCCUUCGGUAUGUUACUUGCCCGAGAUUCGAUCGUCGGUAUCCGUAUACCUAUUUCAAUCUUGUUACUGGCAAGUCUCUUUGCUCGUUCCGUAAUACAAGAUCCCGUGACUUACACUUGAGUCACAUUGCUUGCAAGUCUUGUUUGUGAUGUUGUAUUACCAAGUGGGCCCCGAGAUACCUCUCCGUCACACGGAGUGACAAAUCCCAGUCUUGGUCCAUACUAACUCAACGGACACCUUCGGAGAUACCUGUAGAGCACCUUUAUAGUCACCUAGUUACGUUGUGACGUUUGAUACACACAAGGUAUUCCUCCGGUGUUAGUGAGUUAUAUGAUCUCAUGGUCAUAGGAAUAAAUACUUGACACGCAGAAAACNNNNNNNNNNUGCUACGUUCAUAGUUUGGGUCUAGUCCAUCACAUGAUUCUCCUAAUGAUGUGAUCCAGUUAUCAAGUGACAACACUUGCAUAUGGUCCGAAAACUUUAACCAUCCUUGAUCAACUAGCUCGCCAACUAGAGGCUUGCUAGGGACAUUGUUUUGUCUAUGUAUCCACACAUGUGUCUAUGUUUUCAUUCAAUACAACUAUAGCAUGGAUAAUAAACAAUUAUCUUGAAACGGGAGAUAUAAUAAUAACUAUUUUAUCAUUGCCUCUAGGGCAUAUUUCAAACACUAUGUGCCUCCCAUCCUGAUAUUAUGUUGAGUGUUUGCAUGUGUGCCCAAUAUCAAGCGGCAGCCAAAGAGUGUCACCUAAAGGUCGUGAAAAGAAUGGUGAGAUACUUAAUACAUACACCAACCUUUGGCAUAUGGUAUCCCAAGGGAUUUUCUUUUAAUCUUGUUGGCGUAUUGUGAUUCAACUACGUCAGAGACAAGGUAGAUAGAAAAUCAACCUCGGUUACAUGUCAAUUCUUUGGGAGAUCUCUUAUGUCUUAAUGAGGAAAGAUCUCUUAUGUCUUAGUCAUCCAAGAAACAAAACUCGAUAUCUUUAUCUACUACCGAAGCAGAAUACAUUGUCGUCGGAUCAUGUUGUGCACAACUAAUAUGGAAGGCGUGAACUCAUAAGGAUUAUGGCAUCCAUGUGAGCCAUGUUCCAUUGUCGUGUGAUAGAAAGUGCUAUUAAAAUUGCCUAUAAUCAUGUGCAACAUUCACGAACUAAACAUAUACAGGUGCGACAUCAUUUCAUUCGUGAUCAUGUUGGUAAAGGAGAUAUUAAUCUCAAGCAUGUUCGUACCAACAAACAAUUGGCUGAUAUCUUUACCAAGCCACUUGAUGAUAAAGUGUUUUGUCAUUUGAGGAGAGAGUUGAACAUCAUUGAUGCUUCAAACUUGAGCUAGACUCACUCGGAUGCAUGCAAGGGCAUGAGCUUACUUGAUUAUUCCAUGAUUCUAUUGAUACGACACUAUCUUAUAUCUUGGAAAACUAUGCUCCCUUGUAUUGCAUCUAACCUUUUGUAGGUACUUGGAAGAACUACGCUUCACGAGAUUUCCAUCAACUCGCAUCAAAAGCAAUCUUGUCAUGGCCAAGUAUCAAGAACCCCUUCUUCGAAGAUGAAGGAAGAAGACAACAAAAUCAUAUCAUUGACAACUACUUGAUGAAUAAAUUCAUUCUUGUCAUUUGGAUAUAUGACUUUCUUCCUUGCAUGACCAACCUAUGUAGGUGAAAAGUGAACCAAAACGAUAGGGAUAGCUCCCGACUCAAGAUGAUCUUCAUCAACUUUGAGCAUCCACAACAAGUUCACCUACGUGCCAAGUCAUCAAUAUCAUUCGAAGGUAUGUACUCAUAUCCUUGAUAAAGCUUUACACCAAGUCAUGAGGUAAAGAAAGUCAAAUGAUAUGAAAACAUUAAAGUACUUAAUCAAAAAAUGGUAACCCCAUUUUGCGCUUAACGAUGAGUAUGACCUAUGAUGAAGCAUUUUUGCUUGACUCCUCAAGUAAAUAUACUCUAAUAUAGGUGACCUAGUCACCGCGCAACAUCUAUAUGAAGAUUCAUGUGUGCUUCAUAUUUUUAUUGCAUGCUUUCUUGAAAACCAUUCAAAUCUCAUCUAUAUGUAUAUAUUUCAACAAAAAAACUAUUUUCUCUUUUAUUUUUCAAAACAUUUGGAUAUUUUAUGUCUAUUUGAGUUGAGAAGUUGAAAUUUUAAUUACAACUCGGUGUCUCCGAUCUCGGAAACUCGAUCUAACCGAAAUCUCCAAGAGGCCUACUAACUUUCUCGGUUGUACCGAACCACAAUGCCUAGGUGACUCCCAAUUUUAUCACAGCCUAUGGUCUUUGUGUAUUUCUGGAUUUUUACCAAGGGGAGAGAAACUUUUCAAUGAUCCCAAGUUUCAUUACCUCGUGAGCACUUAUAGAUCAUUCCCAGUUAUGCCAAAGGGGGGCAUAAUCUUUGUUUCACAUAAUUUUCUAAGGGGAGAAAACUUCAAAGGGGGGUAAUAUUUCAAUGAUCCCACAAUAUAAGAGGGAGAAACAUCUAGGAUCCCUAACUAAAAUGGGGAGAUAUAUCAAGGAUCUCUUAUCUAUACUCAAAGAAGGAGAAAAAUUCAAGGAACCCUUACUCUCAAUGAACCCUUUCCAUGUGACCUUUUUGGAAGUUAAUGCCAAAAUGGGAGAUAUAUCAAAGCUCUAAUCGCUUAUAAGAAAAGGGGGGUCUACCAAAGGGAAGAUCUUCCAUAGGGAGAGAUAUAUCAAACCUUACACAUUCAAGGGGAGAGUUAACAUUAAGGGGGAUAUAUAUAUAUAUAUAUAUAUAUAAAUUAUUGCCUACUUUGUAUUUAACUUGUCUCACCCCACCUACUCCCAAUAUCUACAUGCUAUGAUUCAGGGGGAGAGGAAAUCUUUCAUAUUCAUACUUAGGGGAGUAAGUUCUAAAUAUCUUUGGAGACAUAUCUAUCAUCAAAUCCUAUUUUCAAUAUGUCUUCCGUAUCUUGGUACUUUUGAAGCUCUCUGCAUCUUUACAAUAGUAUACUCUUGUGUUAUCUAACAUUUGUUUUCCCAAGUGUACUCCUGCUGCUAAGAUGCUUAAGAACCUCAAGGUAAGUAUAUCCAUCAUAUCCUUGCUCGAGAUGAUCUCUUGCUUCUUGCACAUACUGUUUGCAAGAGUGAGUUUUGAACAUGGAAACUUUUCAUUCACACAUGUUUGAUGCAUAUAGCCAAGAUUCACAUGACUUGUCAUGUCUCUUCUACUAUGUGUGUGCUCUUGUAGUCCAAAGGAACCAUCCUUAUAAAAGGGAUUGCACACAUUUAGGGGGGCUUGUAUUAGUCAUGUAUCAAAGCUGGCAUAUUCUACUGCUUAUCUUUAUUUGAAGCUUUGAUUGUAUGUUGUCAUCAAUUACCAAAAAGGGGGAGAUUGAAAGCACAUAUUCUCCCUUGGUGGUUUUGAUAAUUCAUGACAACAUACAUUGUCUCUUGGACUAACACUUUUACCUCGUAUAUUUCAGGUAUAGUCCACACAGAGCAUUGGCUAAAGAAUUUUGAGGAGAAGCCCCUUGAUGCAAGGAAAGGAAUAGGAUCAUCCAAGCUUCAAGCAAGAAGACUCUACAUUUUAUAUUAGUGAGAAAUCACAUUUGAGUCCAUAGGAAAGCCAAUACUAUUAAAAGGGGUGAGGUAUUUAUGAUGAAUUGGUUUCUCAAGUGCUUAGAUAUAGCAAACAAAAAUACUCAUCAUUUCUCUCACAAAAAUCUCUGUCCAAAGCCUGAACAUCAAAAUCGGUGCCACCAAGUAUUCCAUUCCGGCCCUAUCGAUUUUCUAGUGACAAAACCUUUGCCAAACCCUAAUCUCUGAGUACCACCAACUUUCAUGUCAAUGCCACCGAAAGACAGUGACCACUUUUUGGUAUGUCGAUUUCAAGAAUCGGAAAUUCCGAGUUUUGAAAUCGGUCUCACCGAGAAUUGGAAACUGCCCUAGGUCAUCAAAUCGGUACCAUCGAGAUUCAUAUACCGGUCUCACCGAGAAUUCAGAAGUUGCCACAUUUAGUGCAACUCGGUACCAUCGAGAUUCAUUUCGAUGUCAUUGAGUUGGGCAAUAAUGUUGUAACAGUUGGAUUUUGGGAGAUGCCUAUAUAUACCCCUCCACCACCUCUCAUUCGUAGAGGAAGCACGCAGAACACACACACACACACACUUGACAUAUCCAUAUUUCUGAGAGAGAGAGAACCAUCUACUCAUGUGUUGAGAUCAAGAGAUUCCAAUACAUCCUUUAGAAACUUGAUCUCUAGCCUCACCAAGUUUCUUUCCACCAAAUCAAUCUCUCCUACCCAUACCAAUUCUAUGAGAGAGUGAUUGAGUGUUGAGGAGACUAUCUUUUGAAGCACAAGAGCAAGGAGUUCAUCGUUCUACCGCAUCUAUUACCUUUUCGAGGGUGGUGCCUCCUAGAUUGGUUAGAUGUCGCUUGGGGGCCUCCUACUUCAUGUUGUGGAGUUGUACCAAGAAGUUUUUACACGCAAGCCUAAGUGAGGCUAGUCCUAUGUGGACGUAAGCCAUGGUGGAAUAGACAAUGCCACUUCUUUGUAGACCCCUUAUGGGUGGAGCUCUCCGUGGACUCUCGCAGCCAUUAUCCUUCGUGGGUUGAUGUCUCCACUAACAUGGGCGUACGAUGGCACCACCUAUCGGAACCACGCCACAAAUCGCCGUGUCAAUCUUUGUGUUUGACCUUCUUGAACUCUACCCCUUACUUACAUGUGCGAUAGCACUACCUAUCGGAACCAUGCCAGAAAUCACCGUGUCAAUCUUUGUGUCUGAUCUUCCUGAACUCUACUCCUUACAUACGACAGCACCACCUAUGGGAACCACGCCAAAAAUCGUCGUGUCAAUCUUUGUGUUUGAUCUUCCUGAACUCUACUCCUUGUGCGAUGUUUUUACUUCCCGCUGUCAUAUAUAUUGACUAGCAUGUGUAGGGUGCGCUAUACCUUUUAGAAUUGCUAAAAUCUGCCAACCAUUAAAAUUGGGAAAAGGCUAGGAUUUUAAUUUAUGCAAGUAUUCUAUUCACCUCCUUUAGACAUCGCUUCUAGAGACCCAACAUGAGCAUCUGAGAUCAUUGACUAGGGGGGAACCAGGUGUCGUCGUCAGGGGGAACCGACAACUAAACAUGCCGACUUUUUCUCUAACUUUGAUGAGGGGUUGAGUGGAGCCGGUGCAUGCUAUGAGAGUGGUUCACCUGCUGGACCAGUGCAGUUUUGAGCAUCUCAAUGGCGUUCCUGGCCUCAAUGUCUCCCAGACUGUUUCCCGUGAUCGGGAUUGCAGCAAGAUUGUGAGUCUCCGCAAGCAUGUCGUCAACUAGGUUGGAGUAAUGACCCCAUGGAGUAUGGAAACGUUGAGGUGAUUGCUGAGGUAGGGUGUGCUGAUGGAUUGGCUUGUUCGAACCUGGAAGCACUACUCGUGUCAAUUGGGGUAUGACAUGUGUCUCCAGGUGUGCCGACUCCUGCUCCUCGAAUAGUAGCGUCAAGCGGUGUUUCAAAUAAAUGAGUUGGCUCAAAAGUUUAUGGCAGGCGACUCUACUGCCUUCUUGCGUGAACUAGAUAUUUAUCAUUUUGGCAAAACCCUAAGUGAACUGCAUGUGCCUUUAAGCGCUCUGAUUCACUGAGGACACAGAUAUGCAUGCUCGCCAUACAAGAUUUUUCUAUGUUGAUCUCCUCUUGGACUGUACCCAUCUGCUCCGGGAGUUUCGCCACCUCGGCGCCAUGCUCUUUCGCGUUCUUCGUGGUAAUGGGGGAUGCCAGAAGGGUACUUAAUGCGUUUGCCAAUUCCAACAGGUCGGCGGUUUGCUCGAGCCGGUCCCGCUUGAAGCUAGCGGCUCACCUUAGGUCCUAGCACUAGCGGUAGUGGAAGUUUGAAUCAUCCCAGUUCCACGCGCACUACCCCCUACCAUGUAGACGGCCGCGUGACAUGGCGGCUCAAAAAUCUCCGGGUCGGUCUCUUCGUGUGUAUAGCCCCCAAGCCGCUCGUCAAAAAGUGGAAGGAUCAACUCGGCUUCGUCGACUGGUGACUCACCAUGUGAGUAGGCAAGGGUGUCACCGCCAGACGCCAAAUUUCCUCACAAAUCCACUCCCUAAGUGAAUGUGAAGAAGGCGUGGUUCGGGAGGGGGGGCUUGUGUCUGACCGGGUUAGGAGCGUUGAUCCGGCUUGAUAAUGUCGGUGAAGGGGCGUGGCUCGGUCUUAGAUUCGUCAAUCUUGCCGAUGAAGACGUGGAUAUUGCCAGAGGGGACCCGAUACCCUUACUCGAUUGAGUCGCUUCGGAACCCCAACCAGAGUUGUCAAUGUAGAGCUUUCCACGAGACUCUUCGUCAUGUGGCCAAACGCGUAUCCCUCGAUCUCCCGAAGAGCUCCCUCCAAAAACUCAACACCACCGUGCGCGUGCCCCCGCGGUAGGCGCCAACAGUCAUGGUUUUUUCACGGUAGAUGUCCUCAUUAAAGGACUAAAUCUAGGAGCCAUCGCAACUACGUGGUUGCUUGGAUGGUGUUGAUCAAGAAGGAAAGAUAUGUUGGAAAUAUGCCCUAGAGGCAAUAAUAAAUUGGUUAUUAUUAUAUUUCUUUGUUCAUGAUAAUCGUUUAAUAUCCAUGCUAUAAUUGUAUUGAUUGGAAACACAAUACUUGUGUGGAUACAUAGACAAAACACUGUCCCUAGUAAGCCUCUAGUUGACUAGCUCGUUGAUCAAAGAUGGUCAAGGUUUCCUGGCCAUAGGCAAGUGUUGUCACUUGAUAACGGGAUCACAUCAUUAGGAGAAUCAUGUGAUGGACUAGACCCAAACUAAUAGACGUAGCAUGUUGAUCGUGUCAUUUUGUUGCUACUGUUUUCUGCGUGUCAAGUAUUUGCUCCUAUGACCAUGAGAUCAUAUAACUCACAGACACCGGAGGAAUGCUUUGUGUGUAUCAAACGUCGCAACAUAACUGGGUGACUAUAAAGAUGCUCUACAUGUAUCUCCGAAGGUGUUCGUUGAGUUAGUAUGGAUCGAGACUGGGAUUUGUCNNNNNNNNNNUUCCUAUGACCAUGAGAUCAUAUAACUCACUAACACCGGAGGAAUGCUUUGUGUGUAUCAAACGUCGCAACGUAACUGGGUGACAAUAAAUAUGCUCUACAGGUACCUCCGAAGGUGUUCGUUGAGUUAGUAUGGAUCGAGACUGGGAUUUGUCACUCCGUGUGACGGAGAGGUAUCUCGGGGCCCACUCGGUAAUACAACAUCACACACAAGCCUUGCAAGCAAUGUGACUUAGUGUAAGUUGCGGGAUCUUGUAUUACGGAACGAGUAAAGAGACUUGUCGGUAAACGAGAUUGAAAUAGGUAUAUGGAUACUGACGAUCGAAUCUCGGGCAAGUAACAUACCAAAGGACAAAGGGAAUGACAUACGGGAUUAUAUGAAUCCUUGGCACUGAGGUUCAAACGAUAAGAUCUUCGUAGAAUAUGUAGGAUCCAAUAUGGGCAUCCAGGUCCCGCUAUUGGAUAUUGACUGAGGAGUGUCUCGGGUCAUGUAUACAUAGUUCNNNNNNNNNNAUAUGUAGGAUCCAAUAUGGGCAUCCAGGUCCCUCUAUUGGAUAUUGACCGAGGAGUCUCUCGGGUCAUGUCUACAUAGUUCUCGAACCCGCAGGGUCUGCACACUUAAGGUUCGACGUUGUUUUAUGCGUAUUUGAGUUAUAUGGUUGGUUACCGAAUGUUGUUCGGAGUCCCAGAUGAGAUCACGGACAUCGCGAGGAUUUCCGGAAUGGUCCGGAAACGAAGAUUGAUAUAUAGGAUGACCUCAUUUGGUUACCGGAAGGUUUUCGUGCAUUACCGGAAAAGUUUCGGGCUCAUCGGUAGUGUACCGGGAGUGCCGGGAGGGGUGCCGGGGACCAUCGGGAGGGGUGUCACGCCCCAAGGGGUCUUAUGGGCUAUGGGAAGAGAUAAACCAUCCCCUAGUGGGCUGGAAUAAGUUCCCACUAAGGCCCAUAAGGUUUGAGAAGGAAAAAACACAAGGUGGAAAGAGUUUCCAAGUGGGAAGGUGGAAUCCUACUCCAAGUAGGAUUGGAGUAGGACUCCUCCACCUCCAAUUUCGGCCAAACCUUUAGGUUUUAAGGCUGCCUCCUCCCCUCCCUCCCUCCUAUAUAUAGUGGGGUUUUAGGGCUGAUUUGAGACAACUUUGCCACGGCAGCCCGACCACAUAUCUCCAUGGUUUUACCUCUAGAUCGUGUUUCUGCGGAGCUCGGGCGGAGCCCUGCUGAGAUAAGAUCACCACCAACCUCUGGAGCGCCGUCACGCUGCCAGAGAACUCAUCUACCUCUCCGUCUCUCUUGCUGGAUCAAGAAGGCCGAGAUCAUCGUCGAGCUGUACGUGUGCUGAACGCGGAGGUGCCGUCCGUUCGGCACUAGAUCGUGGGACUGAUCNNNNNNNNNNNNNNNNNNNNNNNNNNNNNNNNNNNNNNNNNNNNNNNNNNNNNNNNNNNNNNNNNNNNNNNNNNNNNNNNNNNNNNNNNNNNNNNNNNNNGGCAGCACAGCAAGACAAGUAACAACAGUAGCAACAGUAGUAGCAGCAGCAGAGCAAGACAAGUAACAGUAGUAGUAGGAAAAACUCGUAGGCAAUGGGUCGGUGAUUUUUUUGGAUGAUAUUCAUCAUGCAACAGCUAUAACAGAGAGAGAUAUGUGGCUAGCUCCCGUUCGUCAAUGUGAUGUAGGCAUGCAUUCCGUGUGUCGUCAUACGUGCUUAGGGAAAAUAACUUGCAUGACAUCUAUUGUCCAUCCCUCCCGUGGCAGCGGGGUCGAAAAGGAAACUACGGGAUAUUAAUGUUCUGCUUUUAAUAAAGAACCGGACCAACGCAUUAGCACUUGGUGAACACAUGAACUCCUCAAACUAUGGUCAUCACCGGGAGUGGUUCCGGUUAUUGUCACUCCAGGGUUGCCGGAUCAUAACACAUAGUAGGUAACUACAACUUGCAAGAUCGGAUCUAAAACACACAUAUAUUGGUGACAACAUAAUAAUUUCAGAUUUGAAAUCAUGGCACUCGGGCCCUAGUGACAAGCAUUAAGCAUGGCAAAGUAUUAGCAACAUCUAUCUCAGAACAUAGUGGAUACUAGGGAUCAAUCCCCAUCAAAACUAACUGGAUUACAUGAUAGAUCUCAUCCUACUCAUCACCGCCCAGCGAGCCUACGAAUAGAUUACUCACAAACGACGAAGAGCUUCAUGGAAUUGGAGAGGGAAGAAGGUUGAUGAUGACGAUGGCGACGAUUUCCCCUCUCCGAAGCCCAAGACGAACUCCGGAUCUACCUUCCAGAUGAAGAACAGGUGGUGGCGGCGCCUCCGUAUCGAAAACGCGAGGAAAACUUCUCUUCUUUUAUUUUUUCUGGGACGAAAGGCAACUUAUAGAGCUGAAGUUGGGGGCGGCAGGUGCCUGUGUGCCCCACAAGCCUGCCCACCGCCACCAGGGUGGUGGUGGCGGAGCAGGGGCUUGUGGCCCACUGGCCCACCCCCUGAGGNNNNNNNNNNUGAUUUCCCCUCUUCGGAGCCCAAGACGAACUCCAGAUCUGCCCUCCAGAUGAAGAACAGGUGGUGGCGGCACCUCCGUAUCGAAAACACAACGAAAACUUCUCUUUUUUGUUUUUCUGGGACGAAAGGCAACUUAUAGAGCUGGAGUUGGGGCGGAAGGUGCCUGUGGGCCCCAGAAGCCUGCCCACCGCCACCAGGGGGGUGGUGGCGGAGCAGGGGCUUGUGGCCCACUGGCCCACCCCCUGAGGUGGAACUUGGCGCAGAUAUUUUUGAUAUUUUCCAAAACUGCUCCCCGUAAAUUUUCAGGACGUUUGGAGAACUUUGAUUUCUGCACAAAAAUAACACCAAGGCAAUUCUGCUGAAAACAACGUUAGUCCAGGUUAGUUCCAUUCAAAUCAUGCAAAUUAGAGUCCAAAACAAGGGCAANNNNNNNNNNNNNNNNNNNNNNNNNNNNNNNNNNNNNNNNNNNNNNNNNNNNNNNNNNNNNNNNNNNNNNNNNNNNNNNNNNNNNNNNNNNNNNNNNNNNGGAUCACAUCAUUAGGAGAAUCAUGUGAUGGACUAGACCCAAACUAAUAGACGUAGCAUGUUGAUCGUGUCAUUUUGUUGCUACUGUUUUCUGCGUGUCAAGUAUUUGUUCCUAUGACCAUGAGAUCAUAUAACUCACUAACACCGGAGGAAUGCUUUGUGUGUAUCAAACGUCGCAACGUAACUGGGUGACAAUAAAGAUGCUCUACAGGUACCUCCGAAGGUGUUCGUUGAGUUAGUAUGGAUCGAGACUGGGAUUUGUCACUCCGUGUGACGGAGAGGUAUCUCGGGGCCCACUCGGUAAUACAACAUCACACACAAGCCUUGCAAGCAAUGUGACUUAGUGUAAGUUGCGGGAUCUUGUAUUACGGAACGAGUAAAGAGACUUGUCGGUAAACGAGAUUGAAAUAGGUAUAUGGAUACUGACGAUCGAAUCUCGGGCAAGUAACAUACCAAAGGACAAAGGGAAUGNNNNUAUGAAUCCUUGGCACUGAGGUUCAAACGAUAAGAUCUUCGUAGAAUAUGUAGGAUCCAAUAUGGGCAUCCAGGUCCCGCUAUUGGAUAUUGACCGAGGAGUCUCUCGGGUCAUGUCUACAUAGUUCUCGAACCCGCAGGGUCUGCACACUUAAGGUUCGACGUUGUUUUAUGCNNNNNNNNNNNNNNNNNNNNNNNNNNNNNNNNNNNNNNNNNNNNNNNNNNNNNNNNNNNNNNNNNNNNNNNNNNNNNNNNNNNNNNNNNNNNNNNNNNNNNNNNNNNNNNNNNNNNNNNNNNNNNNNNNNNNNNNNNNNNNNNNNNNNNNNNNNNNNNNNNNNNNNNNNNNNNNNNNNNNNNNNNNNNNNNNNNNNNNNNNNNNNNNNNNNNNNNNNNNNNNNNNNNNNNNNNNNNNNNUCCGGAAUGGUCCGGAAACGAAGAUUGAUAUAUAGGAUGACCUCAUUUGGUUACCGGAAGGUUUUCGUGCAUUACCGGAAAAGUUUCGGGCUCAUCGGUAGUGUACCGGGAGUGCCGGGAGGGGUGCCGGGGACCAUCGGGAGGGGUGUCACGCCCCAAGGGGUCUUAUGGGCUAUGGGAAGAGAUAAACCAGCCCCUAGUGGGCUGGAAUAAGUUCCCACUAAGGCCCAUAAGGUUUGAGAAGGAAAAAACACAAGGUGGAAAGAGUUUCCAAGUGGGAAGGUGGAAUCCUACUCCAAGUAGGAUUGGAGUAAGACUCCUCCACCUCCAAUUUCGGCCAAACCUUUAGGUUUUGAGGCUGCCUCCUCCCCUCCCUCCCUCCUAUAUAUAGUGGGGUUUUAGGGCUGAUUUGAGACAACUUUGCCACGGCAGCCCGACCACAUAUCUCCAUGGUUUUACCUCUAGAUCGUGUUUCUGCGGAGCUCGGGCGGAGCCCUGCUGAGAUAAGAUCACCACCAACCUCUGGAGCGCCGUCACGCUGCCAGAGAACUCAUCUACCUNNNNNNNNNNNNNNNNNNNNNNNNNNNNNNNNNNNNNNNNNNNNNNNNNNNNNNNNNNNNNNNNNNNNNNNNNNNNNNNNNNNNNNNNNNNNNNNNNNNNUCCCUUCCGAUGCAAGUAUGGAUUUAAGGGCAAAGCACCAGCAAGCAAUAGCUUUUGUAAUAUGCUAGAUUACCUCCUUUGCUUGCCUGAUGUACUUAACUCAUUGCAGUUUCUGGUGUAUUCCUUGCGGAGAAACUAAACACAUUCUUAGGACAAAACUGGAAGAGCUUCUCAAGCCAGAAUUACUUUGAUCCCCAAGGCCUCUUCAUCUCGGUCAUGUGGUCUGGUCCCCUGCUCCUGAUUACGAUACUUAUUCUGGUAAGUGCAUCGCCAGUCGUCUCAUUCACCUCAUCAGUAUCUGCAUCUCCUUUUGCUUUCCUUACAUGCAACUGCCUCCCGUGUGCUUGUUCUGCAGGUGAACACCCUUGUGACGCUCUGCAUGCUGAUGGUAAGGUGGAAAAGGGCCGAGCUCAAGCACCGCGCUCGUGAGGCCCGUAGCAAGCAGGAAUNNNNNNNNNNNNNNNNNNNNNNNNNNNNNNNNNNNNNNNNNNNNNNNNNNNNNNNNNNNNNNNNNNNNNNNNNNNNNNNNNNNNNNNNNNNNNNNNNNNNNNNNNNNNNNNNNNNNNNNNNNNNNNNNNNNNNNNNNNNNNNNNNNNNNNNNNNNNNNCAGGAAUGAUGAUGCUGCCAUGCCCGCGGAUCUGUUGUGCGGUAGGAGAUUAAGCUGCUGAUCUAACGGAGAAAUUUGAUUGGAACAGUAAAGUGGAAGGUUAAUUAGUCCUUGAUUUUGAUUGAUGGUCUCACUUAUGGUCUCUGGUACUGAAGCACACGGUUUUACACAUGCAUUAGCUGAUGUUCGCCAAAUUAAGGCAUAUGUUUGUGUAGGGAGCUCUGAAUGUUAUUUGGAUAGCUGCAGGAGUCAAGUGCCGUUGUAUAUGCAUAUUCAUUGUUAUGACUUGCCUCUCAAAUACCUCGGUUUCAU
RNAcentral lists this long non-coding RNA (35371 nucleotides) under Hordeum vulgare. RNAcentral's name for it is "long non-coding RNA (HVUL_LNC019551)". The record is from RNAcentral. Lineage: Eukaryota; Viridiplantae; Streptophyta; Magnoliopsida; Poales; Poaceae.